CUUACCUGGUCUUGACAUCCACAGAACUUGCCAGAGAUGGCUUGGUGCCUUCGGGAACUGUGAGACAGGUGCUGCAUGGCUGUCGUCAGCUCGUGUUGUGAAAUGUUGGGUUAAGUCCCGCAACGAGCGCAACCCUUAUCCUUUGUUGCCAGCGGUCCGGCCGGGAACUCAAAGGAGACUGCCAGUGAUAAACUGGAGGAAGGUGGGGAUGACGUCAAGUCAUCAUGGCCCUUACGACCAGGGCUACACACGUGCUACAAUGGCGCAUACAAAGAGAAGCGACCUCGCGAGAGCAAGCGGACCUCAUAAAGUGCGUCGUAGUCCGGAUUGGAGUCUGCAACUCGACUCCAUGAAGUCGGAAUCGCUAGUAAUCG
This 374-nucleotide ribosomal RNA is filed under the name Enterobacter sp. CAR39. RNAcentral's name for it is "bacterial SSU rRNA". It matches the Rfam family "Bacterial small subunit ribosomal RNA", at positions 970 to 1344 of the family's 1533-position model. The record is from RNAcentral. Lineage: Bacteria; Pseudomonadati; Pseudomonadota; Gammaproteobacteria; Enterobacterales; Enterobacteriaceae.